AUGGUGAAAACAAUAACAACCGUAUUUAUAUUGCGUUAAUGCAAAAAAUAGGCCUAAAUAUAGUUAUUUCUGCUUCUGUAAAUUCACAACUUAAUAUGGAUCGGUUGGAAAUUAAAAGAAGAAUAUAAUAUGAUGACAGGAGGAAAGAAAAGGGCUAAAUUGGUGUAGUGUGUCAAUGCCAAGCACUAACCGCGUGGAUAAGCACUGGGCGUUGUCCUAGAAAUGAGAAUGUACCAAUUGCUAAGUCAAACUAUUAAAGCUCUGUUUGGUAUAUGAAGGACUAGGAGAAUGGGACUAGUUUUGAGAUUGAGUAAUCUCAUCUUUUUAUGCUUUAUGUUUGGUAUAAAAGACUCAAUAUUUCAAUAUUAAUGCCAAUGCUACCUUAUAUGAGAUUACCUCGGUAUUGCAAAAUUAGUCUAGGGAUUGAUUUUUCUAUGAUCAAAAUACCCUUUCAACCUCUACCUCCCUCCUUCCCACGCACCGAGAUGAAUCCCACUUUGUCCAGAUCUUGGUGCUAGGAUUGUAGAACCCAUGCUUCGGCCAAAGGUUCUUCUUGUCCAAAUCAGCCGGAAUGACGUCGAUGAUUUGCAGAAGCAAGCUCCGAUGCUCACACAUGGGAUUAACUUUCGUUUUCAACCCAUUGAGAAGCUUCCGAAGAUGCGACGCAAAUCGUCUCCCUUCCUCCACUUCUUCAUCUCGUCGAAAGUCGUUCGUGCCGCCGCCUCCUUCGCAAGUCAUCUCCCUCCCUCCAGAUCCCAUCUCCAUCAUUUUUGCAUCUCCUCCCUUCUCCCUCCAUCUACCUCCCUCUAGAUCGCAUUUGUUUUGAGAUUGAUGGCGUCCAGAUCUGGUUCAUGAGUUUGAUGACAUUCCAAAUCUGGUUCUCAGGAGAACGGUCAUUCGCGAACAGAGGAAGAAAGUCGAAUGCUCCCUCUACUUCUCUUUACAGGAUAAAGACAUGCCAUCUUUUUCUUUUCUGUUUAUAAGAAAUAACAUGGGUUUUGUUUUUAUCUCCUUUUAUAUUAAAAAGUUAAUAUAUAAUUUAGAUCAUAAAUUAUUGGUAUAGAGGUGAUUUAAAUUUUAAAUUUUUAUUUGAUAUGUUUUAAAUUCUGACCAAUUAAUAUUGAUACAAUUUCACCCUUAUCAUUAAAUUAAAACAAACAUUUAUUAUUUUUUCUUGCUGUUUCAGGCCUCAUAGUUUAACAAUAAUUAUUAUAGUAAACACUGUAUUUUGUCCGAGCAUAUUUUACAUUUAAUAAAAAUAAUAAUAAAUUCAAAAAAUUGAAACUUUUAAUAAUAUAGAUAAAAAAAUUAAUUAAUAGGGUUUAGUUCUAUUUUGUUGGUUAGGAUUUUAUUUUUUAGUUCAUUACAACAACUAAAAAUAUAAAAUAUAAAAAUAAAAUUUAAUUUUUUUAGAGGAUUAUUUUUUUAAAAAUAAUAAUAUUAAUAGAAUAAAGAAGAUAAAUAAGUUUAAUCUCUCCUCAGAAUCAAUUUUUUUUUUUUAAAUCUUGCUUAAAUCUUAAAAAAUCUUUCUCAAAUUAUCUCAACAAUCAGAAAAUUAUGAUAAUAAACUUCUUAAAAAUUAAAUAUUUUUAAAUUCUUGUAGAUCUAAUUGUCUUCCUUAUAUUUAUAUGUAUCUACAAAAAAAUAAUAAUAAUAAAAAUAAUUUAAAACUACAAAAAAAGAGUUAGGGUUGAAAAAAAUAUAUGAACUGAGAACCAUCAGCUCAGUCCUUUGUCUAGAUGUGCACACACAAGCAUUUCAAGAAGAAGCAAAGGCGAAACACAAAAAAAAAAAAAAGAAGAGCAAAAGAGAGAGACGCAGAGAGUAGACAAAAAACACAAAGUAAAGCAGCCGGACGCAGAGCAAGUGAUCGAGGUCCAUACACAGCACUUAAACAUAUGAAAAUGCAGCAAAAGAAAGGGAAAAAGCAAAAGAGAGAGAUGCAUGUGAUCAUGAAGAGCAUAACAGAGAUGACGAUUUGAGACUAAAGCGUGUAGCGAAGCAAAGGAAGCAACCGAAGACUGAUCGAAUCAAAAGUUUGAAGGUGAAGAAGACACUAUUCGACAUAUUUAUUUUUAAUGUUCAUCAAAGUUUUAUUGUGGGAUCGCUUCUGGGUUACUACUAUAUGAACAAGGAUGGAUUAUAUACCCUGUUCAUAUGAUUCGAUUACCUUGCUAUGUGGUGGAUAAAAUUUAGUCUCGAAUUAUGUUUUUGAUUCUAAUUAAGGGUUAUUGCAUAGUCUAAUAGCUAGCAAGUUGUUGAGGAGCUUCCAAGAUUUUUAUUAAAGGGUUGUCUAGAGUUGCCCAGUAAUAUAUAACCUUGUGUUAUUGUGUGCUUGAACAUGUAGUCUACAGGAAAUCAUUUUUUUGGGUUAGGUGUUGUGUAUUUAGGUUCUUAUUGCAAUAUAUAGUUUGACACUAAACAUUAAAA
Long non-coding RNA from Prosopis cineraria, 2430 nucleotides. RefSeq lists it as uncharacterized. The record is from RefSeq and is a predicted model, not a curated record. Lineage: Eukaryota; Viridiplantae; Streptophyta; Magnoliopsida; Fabales; Fabaceae. The transcript has 2 exons.